GUCGUCUGGUUUGGAGAUCUUUAUGAUAUUCAACAAUUUCCUUCCAGCAGACAAGAUCUAUUUGUUCGACUGUCAGCUUCAGAAAUAGGAAAAGCAAGAGCUAAUCUUAAGGUGAAGAGAGCAGUGAUAAUUAUAGCUAUUCUGAUUGGAUUAACUUGUGGGAUGAUUUUAAUUGGCUUUUACAUUUGCAAGUGGAGAGCAUUUUAUGAUUAUUAGCCAAGUUGGACAAAAACGGGGUAGAUUGAAUAUUGAGGAAGAUGAUGAUGGGCAACCAAGGAAAAAGGUUCAUCUAGGUGUUCCAGCGACACAAUGGAUUUCAGUUUACAAUGCUCGCCAGCCAAUGAAACAGAGGUGCAUUUUUUGAAUGUUAUGUUUUUUUUUUUACCCUUGAAGUAGUAUCAUUUGUCAUUUCUGUUGAUAUUACUAGCAGUAUUCUGCCUAUAUUUCUCUCUGUUAAUUUUUAAAUGCUUGGAUUGGAACCAUAUACAACUUUCUUAAUCUCUCUAUUUUUCUUUGUUGCCAACCAUAAGCAAGAACAAGUGCCCUACCAGCUGUCAUGUUCUUCUUCUC
Long non-coding RNA from Humulus lupulus (European hop), 570 nucleotides. RefSeq lists it as uncharacterized. The record is from RefSeq and is a predicted model, not a curated record. NCBI's taxonomy places the organism in Eukaryota, Viridiplantae, Streptophyta, Magnoliopsida, Rosales, Cannabaceae. The transcript has 3 exons.